ACACCCCCACUGUCUUCCAGCGAGCAGAACAAAUCAAAGAGGAUUUCCAGAGACAGCAAUAACUUUACAUUCCACCCACUGCUCUCCCUGGGGCAGCAAAUCUUCACUGUGAAAUCUGCAAUUCCAGGAGAGCAGAAAGCAAUCUAUCUCCCUCCAAAAACAAGUUGCCAUUUCAGGGAACUGGACACAUUUUCACUCCUAAUGGAAUCAAGCCAGACACCUUGUUGGAGCAACAAGAGCUAGAGAUAUUUGUUCCUUUUAGAAGAAGCAAAAUUUUCCAGUGCCAACUGACAGGGAAGAAGAUGAAUAAUUACACUAUGUCCUGGUAAAGAGGACCCGAGACGGCUUCCUGAUUUUCGUACAUCAACAAGGAGACGUCUAUGACCCUGGUCUCCAGCACACCUUUCUUGGUAGAGUUGAGAAUUCAACCAGCCAGUUCUUCCUGGAGAUUCUCAGAGCCACAUUGAGAGAGCAGAGGACUUACAAGUGCUGCCCUAUCCAUGGUGACUCCCCUUGGCCUCUAGGCUUGUCUGAGCAGAGGUAGAGUGACCCUGCCGCCUGUUCCUCAACAGUCUGUGCAAAUUCAAAGAAAUAGAGUGUGAAUUCAAGGAACUCAUUUGAAGAACAGGAAAAGCAACUCUCUCCUUGAGGUUAUCGGGGAAAUGAAGGUUGAAACAUGGAUCAGAAGACUUGCUGAGGUCCCUUCCACCCUCAGCUCUUCCAUUCUGUUCCCAAAUGAGGCCCAAAACACAGCUUUCUCCAUCACUCUUUAAUCUGUUGGUUGAUUUGUCUGGUGCACCCAACCAGCACUGUGGCCCUGAAAAUAAAAUGUUAAUUACAUCAA
Molecule: long non-coding RNA, 844 nt
Organism: Homo sapiens (human)
Lineage: Eukaryota; Metazoa; Chordata; Mammalia; Primates; Hominidae
Source: Ensembl